RNAcentral lists this ribosomal RNA (497 nucleotides) under uncultured bacterium. Its description in RNAcentral is "partial 16S ribosomal RNA". It matches the Rfam family "Bacterial small subunit ribosomal RNA", at positions 28 to 507 of the family's 1533-position model. The record is from RNAcentral.
GACGAACGCUGGCGGCGUGCCUAAUACAUGCAAGUUGAGCGAUGAAGAUUGGUGCUUGCACCAAUUUGAAGAGCAGCGAACGGGUGAGUAACGCGUGGGGAAUCUGCCUUUGAGCGGGGGACAACAUUUGGAAACGAAUGCUAAUACCGCAUAACAACUUUAAACAUAAGUUUUAAGUUUGAAAGAUGCAAUUGCAUCACUCAAAGAUGAUCCCGCGUUGUAUUAGCUAGUUGGUGAGGUAAAGGCUCACCAAGGCGAUGAUACAUAGCCGACCUGAGAGGGGGAUCGGCCAAAUUGGGACUGAGACACGGCCCAAACUCCUACGGGAGGCAGCAGUAGGGAAUCUUCGGCAAUGGACGAAAGUCUGACCGAGCAACGCCGCGUGAGUGAAGAAGGUUUUCGGAUCGUAAAACUCUGUUGGUAGAGAAGAACGUUGGUGAGAGUGGAAAGCGCAUCAAGUGACGGUAACUACCCAGAAAGGGACGGCUAACUACGUG